CGUGGUCGUGGCCGGGGCGAUGCUGCUUCUCGGGCUCGGGGUGUGGGCUGCCGGGCGCGGCCGGCGGCGCGGGUUCCUGUCGACCGUCGACCGCGU
RNAcentral lists this transfer RNA (96 nucleotides) under Knoellia locipacati. RNAcentral describes it as "tRNA-Pro". Lineage: Bacteria; Bacillati; Actinomycetota; Actinomycetes; Micrococcales; Intrasporangiaceae. The record is from RNAcentral.